This 253-nucleotide ribosomal RNA is filed under the name uncultured bacterium. RNAcentral describes it as "partial 16S ribosomal RNA". It matches the Rfam family "Bacterial small subunit ribosomal RNA", at positions 524 to 776 of the family's 1533-position model. The record is from RNAcentral.
UACGUAGGGGGCAAGCGUUGUCCGGAAUCAUUGGGCGUAAAGAGCGUGUAGGCGGCCCGAUAAGUCCGCCGUGAAAGUCCAGGGCUCAACCCUGGAAUGCCGGUGGAAACUGUCGGGCUGGAGUCCGGAAGAGGCGAGUGGAAUUCCUGGUGUAGCGGUGAAAUGCGCAGAUAUCAGGAGGAACACCAAUGGCGAAGGCAGCUCGCUGGGACGGUACUGACGCUGAGGAACGAAAGCGUGGGGAGCGAACAGG